This 434-nucleotide ribosomal RNA is filed under the name uncultured bacterium. RNAcentral's name for it is "bacterial SSU rRNA". It matches the Rfam family "Bacterial small subunit ribosomal RNA", at positions 29 to 507 of the family's 1533-position model. The record is from RNAcentral.
AACGAACGCUGGCGGCAUGCCUAACACAUGCAAGUCGAACGAAGCCUUCGGGCUUAGUGGCGCACGGGUGCGUAACACGUGGGAAUCUGCCCUUCGGUUCGGAAUAACAGUUAGAAAUGACUGCUAAUACCGGAUGAUGACGUAAGUCCAAAGAUUUAUCGCCGAAGGAUGAGCCCGCGUAGGAUUAGGUAGUUGGUAGGGUAAUGGCCUACCAAGCCGACGAUCCUUAGCUGGUCUGAGAGGAUGAUCAGCCACACUGGGACUGAGACACGGCCCAGACUCCUACGGGAGGCAGCAGUGGGGAAUAUUGGACAAUGGGCGAAAGCCUGAUCCAGCAAUGCCGCGUGAGUGAUGAAGGCCUUAGGGUUGUAAAGCUCUUUUACCUAGGGAUGAUAAUGACAGUACCUGGAGAAUAAGCUCCGGCUAACUCCGUG